This is a long non-coding RNA of Felis catus (domestic cat), 5565 nucleotides long. RefSeq lists it as uncharacterized. The transcript has 3 exons. NCBI's taxonomy places the organism in Eukaryota, Metazoa, Chordata, Mammalia, Carnivora, Felidae. The record is from RefSeq and is a predicted model, not a curated record.
UGAAGUGCAGCGGCUGAAUGGCUGGCGGAGCUCGUGAACUACCAGCGACAGUGGUGGCCCAGAAUGCCUCUCAGCCCCACAGUGGGCAACGUUCUGAAAGUGAACUUUCACCCUGAGCUGAUGACGUCAGUCUCCUGGCUACCAGCCCUCUGGAUGAAGUCCCCCCCCCCCCCAGUUAUUCUUUUGUUUGCUUUUUUAUUCACGCAUGUCAACGCUCCACCUGUAACGUGCUAAACACAUUUUCCAGGUCAGGGGAAUAUAAUAAAAGGAUGCAUAAGAAGUUGACCUCACCAGACUCUGAAGGAAACAUACAAAUUUCUUAUUACGGAAAGAGGGAUUCACCGAAGUGAUGAUGUUUGAGCUAGGUUCUGGAGGAAAGAACCGUGUGGGCAAAAACCAGGAAGGAACGUGAGGUGAAGACCCAAGGACAGGGGCAGAACUUUGUGUGCUGGCUGUAAAAGGAGGCAGGAUGGCUGGAGAUACAACUGGAACAGUAGUUGGGGAAAGCCUUGAAUUUGGGGAAUUGGGGCCGACCCUGGCCUUCUCCCCUUCCCUGGCCUUAUCCUCUUCCUCUCCUCUUCUCCUCUACCUGUCCCUGGGCACCCCACCCACAUCCUGGCUUCAGUGCUGUUGGUGCCAAAUCUCUCCUGACCUUUGGAUCCACAUAUCCCCCAACCUACUUGGACAUCUCCACAGGAUGUCCCUCAACAUCUCAAACCCACAUGUACACAAUUGACAGCAUCCCCCUCCAGAUUUGAUUCUCCUGUACUCCCCUUUUCAGCAAAUGCUUUCCACCUCCACCCAACUGCUCAAGCAAGAAACCUAGGGACCAUACUUGACUCCUUUCUCCCCUUUAUCCACUUACCCUAUCAGUCAUUAAGUUCUAGUGAUUCCACUCCCACAUAGCUCCCAAAUCCAUCUAGGACUCUUUUCUACCCCUCUCUGUGUUUGGAUGGUUACAGUUUCCUUCUCACUGUUCUCCCACCUUCUAGUCUUCACCCUCCAAUCCAUCUCCAAUUGCAACCAAAAGACUCUUUCAAAAAGGCUCCAGUGAAUCAGCAGCAUCUGUGCCAGCAGAAGGGCAAUACCCAUGGAUCAGGAUGAUUUCUGGAAGAGCAGAGCCAGAAGAGAGGCCAGUUUCAGGAGAGCUCCUCCAGAAUUCCUGAUGGAAACUUAGAAGAUGAGCGUUAGUGGGACGAACUACAGCCCCAAUUACUGUUCCUGUCCAGGGGCCACAACUAGUACUCAUUGCCUCCUUCAUUGUUUUCAAUCCUAAAUUCUCCUCACCCUCAGUUAGCAUCUCCUCUGGUCUCAGUGGCUUACCUGAAGAUAUGAGCCCCUGACCACCAUGCCUUCUCAGGCCAAGGUCACUGCACUUGUCCCCUUAUUGUCAAAAUCGAGCAAGAGAGUACUGAGAAGCAUUCAAACUGGCCAAGAUGAUGAUUCUCCUUCUUGCCUGUUGGUCCCUGCAAACAAGGUGCCCAAAGUGCUCAGGUAGUAGCUAUAGCUUAUAGAUCAAUAGUACUCUUGCUGUAUCCUCUGGUGGAAGAUUCCCCCUCGGGGGACAAAUAUCUCUAACCCUGCAGAGUCCAGAGUUGUGAGAGUUGGAAGCUCAAAUUCCACAGGUGCCCACUGAGAGUGAUGGUAGUAGGUCCCUCCUGAUUCUACCCCUUGGUUCCUGGGUCCAUGAAUUCUUCUGAGUGGGGACACGGCACCAUAUGAAAGUCUUUGAUUCAAGAUGUACAUGGUAUCCUGGAAGAUGAACCCCAUCCUCAUAAAGUAUUGCCUCCAAGCUGGUACUUCAAGAGGGCCAUUCUAAUGCCCUAUCAGGGAAGUAGCUUCUGGGUGGUCCCGUAUAUGACUAGAUGAGCAAACCCUGUGAUUAUGGACUCAUUCCUGAACCUCCACUUCAGUGAGUUGGGUCCCUGAUCUGACAUGAUGUUAUGUAAGAUCACUUGUGCUGGUGAAUGAAAUAUUCAAAAAGACCUCAGACAAUGGUGCUGGUUAAGAUCUUGCGGGCAGGGAAAGUAAACAGCAUCCAGAAUAUAUGUUAAUUCCUGUUAGGAUGAAUCAUGGCUCCUCCAUAAUGGAAGGGGUUCAAUGUAGUCAACUUGCCACUAUAUUGCCGAUUAGUCUCCUGAAUAGUUGUUAUUAUAUUGGGGGUAUAUUCAAUAGCAACAGUAGCUAAAAUUAGUUUUUGUAAGUGGGAGCCUAUGCUAUUACUCAUACUAGCCUCUGUCUCUGCUGCUGUAACCUCUUUAUUCACGUGUCCUUAGUGCCAGCACUGGGUGGCUGAUGACAGAGACUAGCUGAAGUCAUCUGGCCAAGUGAAUUUUGUUUUUCUUAGUUAUUUAGUGCCUCUUCCAUGGUGGAUGCUUUCUGGUGGGUGUCAACAUGUGAUACAAAGAUCUUCAUACUAGUGGCCUGGGUGGCUCAGUCAAUAAAGCACCGAUCUUGAUCGUGAUCUUGGAGUCAUGAUUUCAAGCCCCACGUUGGGUGUGAAGCCUACUUAAAAAAAGAUCUUCAUACUUUGUGGUGAUGCACCUAUACACCUAUCCAUCCUUGUGCUUCUAUCCCACAAUCCUUGUCCCUAAUCUUCCUAAAUUUCUUCUUCCAGGCCCUUACUAGCCAUAGAGUCUUUACCAUUGCCCCUGAGUUCAUAUAUAUUCUAACCUUGGGGGCACUUGUCUGUCCACAAAGUGGAUGCCCAGGUGCACCUCCUGAAGUUCUGCGCACUGAGAUCUUUCACCACUGUUUCUCAAGGCCACCGCUAAUUCAGGCUGUAUUGUAACUGCCAUCCAUUCUCAGCUUGAGGUCACAAACUGAGACAACUUUACACUAGCCAAAUACAGGAUUUUUCCUCUUUUCAGCUGGUUGUAAGGGAUCCUACAUACAGCCAUCAGUGUGAGCUGAGGAAGUGCUAUUAUAAUGGUGGUGUGAUGGCCUGGCAUCUGGGCUGCCUGCUCAAGCAAAACCUGUGUAAACCAUCUGUAAGCCUACAUGUGUUCAAUCCCAGAUGUGCCACUUCCACCAUAGGAUGGAUUGUUGCUGGCUGCCUGAUAUUAUGUCUUAGUAGGUUUGAUAGAACCUGGCUCAUAAGGUAGUUCCUGACAUGUGUUCACUUGGCAUCUCAAAAUCAGACCCAGUAGUACACCAGCAGUUUGGGUUUUUUUUUCAAAAGGCCCAUAAAUCUCUCCUAUAGAUGGCAUGGCAUUGCUCCAACACCCCAAGGACUUAUGUUGUGAUUCCCAGUGGAAAUUGCCAUAAAUUACACACAGCCUCUUUUUCUACCACUGAAAACACUAAUAUCAUGCAUACCAUCUAUAUGAUAUAUAGAAGCAUAUGGCCAAGUAGCAAGACUGCUUGCACCAAAGCCUGAACCUGCUGUAUAACCUUUUCCUUUCCUGAGUUCAAAUUAAAGCCUGUAGCUUUUUGCAUCACCUGGUAUAUGUGCCAGAGCAAUAUUCUUAGUGUGCAAUAUACUAUAUCCAGAACCCAAAGAGAACUACCAGGCAUUAUGCUUCCUUCUUCAUUGUAGGAGGUGCAAUAAUUUAUCAUUUUCUUUGGACAGGAUAUGUGGCAUGUCCUUGACACUGGACCCCUAAACAUCUUUCUGAUAGGACAGGCUCCUGAACUUUAUGCAGCUUAUCUCCCACCUCUGGAGUACAUGUGUCAGACCAAGGCCUCUAAUGUGCUGGCUGCAUUUUGUACAUCUGGCUGAAUUAGUAUGAUGCAAUCGAUGUAAUAGAUCAGUGUGAUGUUCUGUGGGAUGUCCGAACGGUCCUGAUCUCUGUGGCCGCAUUAUGAGAGAGGCUGAAAGUUAACAUAGCUCUGGGGGAACACCAUAGAUGUACACAUACUGGUUUAUGUCCCAUGUGAAUGCAUACUGUUUCUCAGCCAUUCUUCUCAUAGGGAUUAAAAAGAAUCCAUUCAUCAAAUCAAUGUCCACAUAAAAUGUAUCUAAGACUGUGUUGAUUUUUCUAGCAAAGAUACGAAACCUGGUGUGGGGGCUGCAAUAGGGCUCCUCCUUGGGUGACUUGUCUGGCCAUCUACUUCCACUCUCUAGGUUUCGUCUGAUUUGUGUGGGAACAAUACUGGUGAGUUAAAUAGAAAAAUGAUGGGGAAGGACACCUAGUUGGCUCAGUUAGUUGAGGGUGCAAUUCUAGAUCUUGGGGUUGUGAGUUCAAGCCCCACUUUGGGUGUAAAGAUAACUUAAAAAAAUUAAUAACUUUAAAAAAAAAAAGAAAAAGAGUAUGGAUUCUUUAGAUCCUUGAAGGUCGCUUUGCUGUAUGCUGCCAGAAAGGCCCUCUAGCUUUUAUACAUGGUUUCCAAUUGCCUGUUAAUUACUCCUAGUCUUUAAAAAAGAUUUUCCCUAAGGCCUCAGUGAAGCUUAGUAAUUGCCACCCAGUGCCAUUGUGCUGUUAGUUUCCCCCCUCCAUGUUUCUCAGGUGCCUGGUACAUUCCCUUCCGUAGGCAUACCAUCUCAAUUCACCACCAGUGAACAUUUUCACAACUGGACCAUCACUUUAUGUUACGAGCUAUCUGUGUUCCAGGUACUGGCAGUGAGGGGGUCCUCAGUGUGAGGCUAGCAAAGGGCAAUACAGCUCCAAAACCCCCAUCUGAUCACCAGCUUUCUCAGACCACUCCUACACUUCUACUUCUCUCAGAAGCAGGCUUUUCUCUUGGAACAAGAAACAUGAUGGCUAGUAGGAGGGCGCUCUUAGGAUGCACACAUGUGGAAGGUGAGACAGUAGCAGAAUUAGGCAGAAGGAGAAGCUGGGCUGAGGUGUAGGCCUGAACAAUAAUCCAAAGGAAUGUGAAUUUUCUGUUAUUGAAUUAGAUGGCAAUGCAUUGUGUUUAUUAUGCGAUAAAAUGAUAGCCAAAAAAAUAUGAUAUCUAUCGACUAAAAACUCAACACAACAUUCUUGACUCAUAGAACACCCAUCAGAAAAAACUAGAAAAUUUAAGAGAGAAUAUAUCUUCUACGUGAGAUAUUUAAAAGACUAUUUCAUUACAUCAGAACUUCUUCAAAAAUGUAGAGAAGGAAAAUGAAGCUGCAGCUGAAGUUACUGAGUCAUUUGUUAUCCGAACAAUAAAUGCCAUUUACUGAUGGUGAAUUAAUUAAAUUGGGUUUGAUUGCAUCAGCUGACAAAAUGUGUGCAGAGAAAAUUAACUUGUUUACUACUAUGAAAUUUGGGGGCAGAAGAGAACGUGGGAAGCAAGACAGCAAUCAAUUGAAAGUCAAAGCAGAUUAUUCCCUUGGCUUUGAUGAGUUAAUAGAUGUUACUGAUACUGCUCAGUCAUUAUUGUUUAUUCAAGGAGUCAACGCCAUAUUUGAAAUGAUGGUAGGAUUAGUCUCCAUCAAUACUCUGAAUGAACAGAAUUUUCAAAGAAGUUGAGGAAACACUAACUCAAUACAACCUGAAGUGGAAUCUGCAAAGAUGUAUUACAACUGAUGGUGGUAAAAAUAUGUGUGAAGCAGAAAGGACUUAGACAAAUGUAAAAGUUUGCAAAAAUGCAAGGUGUGCAAAGCCUAUAGGUAUUCACUGUGUUGUGCAUCAGCAG